This 304-nucleotide long non-coding RNA is filed under the name Nicotiana benthamiana. RNAcentral's name for it is "long non-coding RNA (NBEN_LNC027840)". The record is from RNAcentral. Lineage: Eukaryota; Viridiplantae; Streptophyta; Magnoliopsida; Solanales; Solanaceae.
ACAAUAUAUAAGCCUAUAAGCACUCUUUUUCUUCUUGAUUUCUUUGUGUAUUUUGGAGGACAUGGUUUCACGUUAAAUCGGGAGUCACCACAUAGUGCAUCAUUGGACAGGAAGGAUUGGCUCGUGAUAUUUGCAAAAGGUCUGGCUCGUGAUAUUUGCAAAAGGUCCACCGGUGGGAAUUUCACCACUAAGUUUAUUAAAUGAGAUGUUCAGGUAUUUAAUAUACACAAUAGCUUCUAAUGACUUUGGAAUCUCACCACUAAGAUUGUUAAAGGACAAAUCCAAGUAUUCCAAGGCAAGAAGU